GACAGAGGCCCCAAGCGUUAGGCGGAAUCACUGGGCUUAAAGCGUGUGUAGGCGGAUCGUUAAGUGUCCGCGUGAAAUCCCACGGCUCAACCGUGGAACUGCCGGGCAUACUGGCGAUCUUGAGGCAUUCAGGGGCGAGCGGAACAAAUGGUGGAGCGGUGAAAUGCGUAGAUAUCAUUUGGAACGCCAAUGGUGAAAACAGCUCGCUGGGAAUGAUCUGACACUGAGACGCGAAAGCCAGGGGAGCGAACGGG
This 254-nucleotide ribosomal RNA is filed under the name uncultured bacterium. Its description in RNAcentral is "partial 16S ribosomal RNA". It matches the Rfam family "Bacterial small subunit ribosomal RNA", at positions 524 to 776 of the family's 1533-position model. The record is from RNAcentral.